GCAGGCCUAACACAUGCAAGUCGAACGGUAACAGGGAUAGCAAUAUCUGCUGACGAGUGGCGCACGGGUGAGUAACACGUUUGCAACCUACCUUUGACUGGGGCAUAGCCCGGAGAAACUCGGACUAAUACCCCAUAAUAUUUACGGGAGGCAUCUUUUGUAAACUAAAGCUUCGGCGGUCAAAGAUGGGCAUGCGUACCAUUAGCUUGUUGGCGAGGUAAAGGCUCACCAAGGCAACGAUGGUUAGGGGGUCUGAGAGGAUGAUCCCCCACACUGGUACUGAGACACGGACCAGACUCCUACGGGAGGCAGCAGUGAGGAAUAUUGGGCAAUGGACGCAAGUCUGACCCAGCCAUGCCGCGUGCAGGAUGACGGCGCUAUGCGUUGUAAACUGCUUUUGUAUGGGAAGAAAUCCCCGGACGUGUUCGGGGUUGACGGUACCAUUCGAAUAAGCAUCGGCUAACUCCGUGCCAGCAGCCGCGGUAAUACGGAGGAUGCAAGCGUUAUCCGGAUUUAUUGGGUUUAAAGGGUGCGUAGGCGGAGGAUUAAGUCAGUAAUGAAAUCCUGCAGCUUAACUGUAGAACUGUUAUUGAUACUGGUUUUCUUGAAUAUAGUUGAGGCAGGCGGAAUGUGUAAUGUAGCGGUGAAAUGCUUAGAUAUUACACAGAACACCGAUUGCGAAGGCAGCUUGCUAAACUGUAAUUGACGCUGAGGCACGAAAGCGUGGGUAGCAAACAGGAUUAAAUACCCUGGUA
Molecule: ribosomal RNA, 755 nt
Filed under: uncultured bacterium
Lineage: Bacteria
Description: bacterial SSU rRNA
Rfam family: Bacterial small subunit ribosomal RNA
Source: RNAcentral